Molecule: transfer RNA, 72 nt
Filed under: Camelus bactrianus (Bactrian camel)
Lineage: Eukaryota; Metazoa; Chordata; Mammalia; Artiodactyla; Camelidae
Also listed under: 1 other name
Rfam family: tRNA
About the family: Transfer RNA (tRNA) molecules are approximately 80 nucleotides in length. Their secondary structure includes four short double-helical elements and three loops (D, anti-codon, and T loops). Further hydrogen bonds mediate the characteristic L-shaped molecular structure. tRNAs have two regions of fundamental functional importance: the anti-codon, which is responsible for specific mRNA codon recognition, and the 3' end, to which the tRNAs corresponding amino acid is attached (by aminoacyl-tRNA synthetases). tRNAs cope with the degeneracy of the genetic code in two manners: having more than one tRNA (with a specific anti-codon) for a particular amino acid; and 'wobble' base-pairing, i.e. permitting non-standard base-pairing at the 3rd anti-codon position.
Source: Rfam by way of RNAcentral
GGGUAUGUGGCUCAGUGGUAGAGUGUGUGCUUAGCACGUGCAACGUCCUGGGUUCAAUCCCCAUUACUUCCA